RNAcentral lists this ribosomal RNA (331 nucleotides) under uncultured Desulfomicrobium sp. RNAcentral describes it as "bacterial SSU rRNA". It matches the Rfam family "Bacterial small subunit ribosomal RNA", at positions 568 to 898 of the family's 1533-position model. Lineage: Bacteria; Pseudomonadati; Thermodesulfobacteriota; Desulfovibrionia; Desulfovibrionales; Desulfomicrobiaceae. The record is from RNAcentral.
CGCGUAGGCGGCUUUUUAAGUCGGUGGUGAAAUCCCGUGGCUCAACUGCGGAACUGCCAUCGAUACUGGAAAGCUUGAAUCCGGAAGAGGUCGGCGGAAUUACUGGUGUAGCGGUGAAAUGCGUAGAUAUCAGUAGGAACACCGAUGGCGAAGGCAGCUGGCUGGACCGGUAUUGACGCUGAGGCGCGAAAGCGUGGGGAUCAAACAGGAUUAGAUACCCUGGUAGUCCACGCCCUAAACCAUGGAUACUUGGUGUGACCACCGCAGUGGUGGUUGUGCCGCAGCUAACGCAUUAAGUAUCCCGCCUGGGGAGUACGGUCGCAAGACUGAA